Long non-coding RNA from Biomphalaria glabrata, 3967 nucleotides. RefSeq lists it as uncharacterized. NCBI's taxonomy places the organism in Eukaryota, Metazoa, Mollusca, Gastropoda, Planorbidae. The transcript is spliced from 2 exons. The record is from RefSeq and is a predicted model, not a curated record.
GGUGUCACAGUGUUGUGCAAGGGUUAUUAAUUAGUUUAAUAGAUGUUAUCAAAGCUCACCGAUAGACUUGACAGAGACCAGACAAAGGUUAGGACAAUGUCAGUUAGGUGUUUGUCUUGUAGAGAGACUGAUAUGUGGGUCGGGACAGACAUUAGCAAUGUUAGUUUAGGCGUAGGCUAGAUACUCAGCCUAUAUAGAGUAGAGUUUGGGGCAAUCGGGACACAACGCCAUGUAGUUUUAGCAGGGGCGUGUGUCGUAUGCUAGGCGUUUUCUGGUGAACGACACAUACAGACAUUGGGAGCAAGUCGCCGAGGUUGGCUCGCGAUCUUGGCUCCAAGAUGUGUGAGUUGUUUGCCAGAGACAACAUGUAGGAACUUUAAUUCUUAAGGACCAGGGUAAGAAGAAAUGUUUUUAUUAGUUAUAUAUCUAGUAUUAGAUGUUAAUUGAUUAUGAAUAAAUAGAAUGGCGCUUUAGCUAGUUGUUAGCGAUAUUUUUGAUUAUUUGUCUAUUUAGAGUGACAGUCUUGGCGACUGUCUGAGUCUUAGUGACAUUCUGACGGUCAGAGACGGUAGAUCUAUAUAUGGUGUAUCUUUGCCUGCUACUCAAGGGGAUAUCACUCUAGUAUUGAGCGGACUGUGACGUUGGGUUCCAGGAUCCGUGCAGAGACUAGAGAGAGAGAGAGAGAGAGAGACAAGAGAAAUGGAAAGUUCAUCGUGACCUACAGCCAAGCAUCAAUGUCUAUGUGAUUAUUAAAUUUUAAUUCUAGAAUCACAUGUUAUAUGUAACUAUAGUUGUUAAUUAAAUAUUUAUUUUUCAUAUGCAAAUUUGUGUCCAGAGAUCAUGAUUUAUAUCAUUAUUGAAUAUUGUGGUCUUUAAUCCAUAGUCAUCUGUGAUGUGUGUGUUUUAUCAGCUAAAUUACAUCAGUAAGAAUCACCCUAGACGUAUAGCCAUCAAGAGCUGAUAUCAAGAUCUUGACAAUUGGGGCCUCGUCUAAAGUUUUAUUUUAAUUUUCUACGACACUUUAAUGAUGUCUGGGGGCUAAUGAAUAACUGGGACCUGUUAUUUUUCUUUAAGUGAAAAUACUUUAGUUAUACUUGAUAUAGUAUUGACAUUUAUUUUUUUAUCCAUCAUAGUAUUGAGAAAAUUGUAUUUUGCUUGUAAAGGUUUGGACGAAUAUUCACUACUUAGAAUUAGCAUUAAGUAGAGUUUCUGUUUACACUUGUAAUACCAUGAUUGUAUUUUUCAAGAUUUUUUUUUUUCUACAUUUUGUUUUCUGCCUAGCAUUUGUUGUGGUACAGGUGAAUUGGCUGUUUGGCAGUGGACGUCACACAUGAUCUAUUUUUAGACUGUCACUCCUGAUUCCUGCGCCCAUUGUCCUGGGGCCUUCGUGUAUCCACGGUUUGAGGGUAACGUAGUUAUCUUCAGCGCGUGUUUUUUCAAUGUUUAGGUAAGCUGUAUGAUGUAGUGAGAUAGGUGUAAGUUUUCUUGUUUUUAUUUUUGAUAGGGAGCUUAGGGAUUUCAUAGAGGUGGGAUAGAAAGAGGUGGACAUUAUUUUUAAAGCAUAAUUACUGCACUGGGCAGUGUUACAUUUAUACUGUGCUUAUACUGUGUUUUUUGCAGGCAGACAGGGGCGAGUUAUUGUUUGGAGAAGGUAGAAGGGGGUUGGACCUGUAUGUUCGCGUUGGGCAAACGUAUAGUGUCGUUGUCCUCAGUUAUUUUUUUUUCUUGCUUUUUAGCUUGUUAAGUUUUGUAGAUGGUUAGCCAGGUGAGCAGUACUGUUGGCCAGUUGUUUUUUUUGUUGCCAUUUUGGUGUUUUGAUAGGCGGGAUAGGGGGUUUGAGAGACAGACAAUGGCGUUGGGUCAUGUAGUGUCCACCCCACCCAUGUAUUUUAGUAAUGCCUAUCAAACCUUGUAGUUGUUAAUGGAAGUUUUGGAAUUUCGUUUCCAGUGCCAUGCCAGAGGGCAGGGACAUUUGUUUUUCUUCUCCCUCUUAGUUGAGGUCGAGCGUUGAUUUUUUUUACCUGGUGUGUCCUUGUUGUACGGAUUCAUGGUAGUUAAGUCACAGGGUGACGUAAUGAUUUUUUGUUGUUGCGGCAAGAGUUGUUUUUUUUACAGUGGGUCUCGAGUUUUGUUGGGCCUGGUUUCAGUUUUUUGUAUGCCGUCUAUUUUUUUUGCUUGAACGUGUUGAUGAUAGUUGGCUAUAGCUCUAUAUAGAAUAUCCGACAUUAGGUAUGUCGUGGAUUUUUUUAUUUCAGUGAGAUGUUGCUGUGUUGACAGAUCAUCAGUUUAUCAAGGUCAUUUGAUUAGUUUGUUCAACGUUUGAUAUUACUAAGAUGUUAAAGUUUAGGCCUGACGAGCUUGAAUUGGUAUUGAUUUUUUUUUUACAUAGAUUUUUUUUUGUUGGCAAAUAUUUGAGCUUUAGCUGAGUUAUGGCGAUUAAUGUACACGCUAUCUAGGUAGUUCAGAAAAUUGACGUUUUAGGACAUUUGUAUCCAAGGUGGAACAUGAGUUGUUUGUUGAAGAGUCAAGUGAGUCCUUCUAAUGGAGGAGAGUGCAUAACAGACACUGAAGUAAAUGACAAAGCGUUGUUUUUUUUUUUAUACGACAUGUGUGAUGGACACUGGCAGUGAGUACAGCCAUUUUACAAUUUCUAUUCUAUUAUAGGGAUGCUAAUGAAUUUUGUAUUUUCAUUUUAUUAUCAUUAUGUUUUAGUUACUUAUAUAUUGAAUUAUACUGUUCUAUAUUUAGGUCGAAAAUAAGAUGCAAGUGGAGCUUGCAAUCCGAAAAACUUUGUCCAUGAUUAGAUGAUAUCAUUUUUCUUACUUUUAGUUUUAUAUUAAUUCGUGUUUUACUUGCACUCGAGAUUUGAUUGGCAGAAUUGCAUGUUCACUUUGAUGUAUAUUUUUUUUGUAAAUCUACUUGCAGAGAUUCAUGACUAUAUUAUUUGAUGUUUAAAGUUGAAGUUUGUGACAGUUGCAGUGCAGAUAUAUGAGAUGACGAUGUUCACAUGUUUGUUUUGAUUUUUUUUUCUUCUUAAUUACAACCACUUUGUUUAUGAUUUUAUAAUCUUAUUCCAGUGUGCUACAGUUGCCUAAAGACUUUGGUUAGCAAUGCUGCAUGUGUUCUAUAACAUUAUUUUUAUGUCUCAAUAUAGUUCCAGAAUUUGUUCUCAAAAUGUGAGGUAGUAGAGGCAGUUUAGACAGUCGCAUUAGUGUGACUUUGGUUGCAAAUAUUGCAACAAAAGUCAAAGGAGAAGGGGAAGAUGUCACAGUGUUGUGCAAGGGUUAUUAAUUAGUUUAAUAGAUGUUAUCAAAGCUCACCGAUAGACUUGACAGAGACCAGACAAAGGUUAGGACAAUGUCAGUUAGGUGUUUGUCUUGUAGAGAGACUGAUAUGUGGGUCGGGACAGACAUUAGCAAUGUUAGUUUAGGCGUAGGCUAGAUACUCAGCCUAUAUAGAGUAGAGUUUGGGGCAAUCGGGACACAACGCCAUGUAGUUUUAGCAGGGGCGUGUGUCGUAUGCUAGGCGUUUUCUGGUGAACGACACAUACAGACAUUGGGAGCAAGUCGCCGAGGUUGGCUCGCGAUCUUGGCUCCAAGAUGUGUGAGUUGUUUGCCAGAGACAACAUGUAGGAACUUUAAUUCUUAAGGACCAGGAGUGACAGUCUUGGCGACUGUCUGAGUCUUAGUGACAUUCUGACGGUCAGAGACGGUAGAUCUAUAUAUGGUGUAUCUUUGCCUGCUACUCAAGGGGAUAUCACUCUAGUAUUGAGCGGACUGUGACGUUGGGUUCCAGGAUCCGUGCAGAGACUAGAGAGAGAGAGAGAGAGAGAGACAAGAGAAAUGGAAAGUUCAUCGUGACCUACAGCCAAGCAUCAAUGUCUAUGUGAUUAUUAAAUUUUAAUUCUAGAAUCACAUGUUAUAUGUAACUAUAGUUGUUAAUUAAAUAUUUAUUUUUCAUAUGCAAA